AUGGCAGCCGCCGAGGAGCCCAGGGAGGUGAAGCUGUACGGCGCGUGGGGGAGCGCCCACGCCGCCAUGGCCCGGAACGCGCUGGAGCUCAAGGGCGUGCGCUACGAGUACGCGGACGAGGACCUGGAGCGCAAGAGCGAGGCGCUGCUGCGCCUGGACCCCGUCCACGGCGGCAAGGUCCCCGUGCUCGUCGUCGACGGCCGCGCCCUCGCCGAGUCGCUCGUCAUCCUCGAGUACGUCGACGAGGCGUGGCCCGGCCGUGCGUCGCGGCUGCUCCCGCCGCGGGACCGGCCCCGCGCGCGCGCCGCGGCCAGGUUCUGGGCGAGGUUCUUCCACGACGAGGUGUCGCCGCUCUCGCACCCCGUCUUGUUCGCGGCGGACGGGGAGGAGCGGGCGGGGCUGGUGAGGGAGAUGAAAGGGCGGAUGGCGGUGAUGGAGGCGGGAAUCCAGAGGGAGUUCCCGCUCGGCGGCGGAGGCGCGGGCGGGAGCCCGGGCUGCUCGACGUCGUUCUGGGCUCGUGCGCCGCCGGGACCAGGGUGCUCUCCUCCGUGGCCGGAGAAGAGAUCGUCGAGGCGGGCGCGCUUCCGCGCGUGCACGCCAGCCUGGUCGCCUUCGACGAGCUCGCCGCCGCGUUCGGGACGAGCGUGCCGCACGAGAGGAAUGAGAGGCGCGCGACGCGCCCGCGUGAGCUCUUCAUGCCGGCGUGACAACGACACGUAUGCUACGUGA
This 729-nucleotide ribosomal RNA is filed under the name Triticum aestivum (bread wheat). RNAcentral's name for it is "partial small subunit ribosomal RNA". Lineage: Eukaryota; Viridiplantae; Streptophyta; Magnoliopsida; Poales; Poaceae. The record is from RNAcentral.